AGAGCAUGUGGAAGCACUUUACAGAAAAAAAACAAACUGAAAUACUCACUCUGCUCUUUGCAUGUUCUCUCUUUUUUCAUAUCUCCUCUUGCUCCCAUUCUCCCUUAUAAGUAGCUGAACUUCACUGGCAGUGUCUGAGGCAGGGUAGGUUGGAAGAAACCACAAACAGAGCUGCAAUACUGCUGCAAUAUGGAGGGAAGGGAUGGUGGGUAGUGGCAGAAGAGUGGUAGGCAGUAUCUGGCCUUUGAAAAGCCACCUCCACUUUUUUUUUUUUUUCUUCUCUCUUCAGCAGUCUCAUGGAUUCUAUGGUAUUUUUUCUAUCUUUGUGAACAUUGUAUCUCCCAGGCCCAAAGAUAUAACAAGGCAUUUGAAAAGUUUGGACAGCUUGUCAAAUGAAGGUAUCUAGUCACAAAAAUGGGAGUGUAAAAAGAAGUGGAAAUGAAAGGAACAAGAUGAAAUGAGAGAAAAAGGAGAGGAAAUGAGUGGAGCAAGAGCAAGAGAUGCAGAACUGCUUCUACUUACAGCAUGGCAAGAGAAUGCUGCUUUAAGGAACUCAUGAGAUUAUGGCCUGUGGUUCAAACCUUUAAUUUAAGAUUCCAGCUUUUUCAGCUUUAACCAUGUUUUAGCACAAUAACGUCUGUCUUAUAAAUGAUGUAACUGGCAAUUACAACUGCUGUGGUUUCAGUGGUGGUUUCAGUUCAUGCUUCUUUGUAAUUCAUGUGGUUUCAGGACAUGCUUCUGAAGGCUACAGAAAUUACUUCUGUGAAUUAUUAAUUAGGAAAAUAAUCUCAUAUUUUGUAAACUCUUAUAGUAUGUAAGAAAUAGGUCAACGUAAGGUGAUGAAUGUGUAGAGCUUUUUUCUCCUGUAGUGACUAUUAAUGCUUUAGUGACCACUAUUAGUUUACAGAGAUCAUCAAGCUUUCAGACAGUUGAAAAGUAUUUCAAAAUAUUUUGUGCAGUUGUGUGCUCACCGGAAAGAAUAAUUACUUUUGAAUUCGUUUAUCAUGUCAGUUUAUUUAUACCUUUAGACUAGGUAGGAAAACUGCUUGAGGGGUCUGAAAAAUGCUAGAUAUUGUCCCCAGGAUGGUGUACAAUGGAUUGAAACUGUUCCUUUUCAACUAGAAGGCCAUUUUUCCCUUGAUGCUUUACCAUCUGUAUCUGUGUGCUCACAGCUUUGUAUAUAGCAUUUUCAGCAGUGCUAUCUAUCUACCAUGAUAUCUAUCCAUGAUACAAACUGGUAGUAUCUAUCAUUUCUGUUAUCUUAUCAUGCUGUGGAUAAAAUUAGCUAUAUAUUUCAGAAAGUUCACACCAGGUCUUGCAGACCACACAGAUAUCUGCAAAGUAGUAUGACAGAAUGGAACAGCAGCUGGGUGAGAUGCUGGUAUGAACAAUACCAGUCAGAUCAU
RNAcentral lists this long non-coding RNA (1406 nucleotides) under Anser brachyrhynchus (Pink-footed goose). Its description in RNAcentral is "lncRNA (ENSABRG00000021757.1)". Lineage: Eukaryota; Metazoa; Chordata; Aves; Anseriformes; Anatidae. The record is from RNAcentral.